This 244-nucleotide ribosomal RNA is filed under the name uncultured Actinomycetales bacterium. RNAcentral's name for it is "partial 16S ribosomal RNA". It matches the Rfam family "Bacterial small subunit ribosomal RNA", at positions 87 to 334 of the family's 1533-position model. Lineage: Bacteria; Bacillati; Actinomycetota; Actinomycetes; Actinomycetales. The record is from RNAcentral.
UGGUGAGAGUGGCGAACGGGUGAGUAACACGUGGGUGAUCUGCCCUGCACUUCGGGAUAAGCUUGGGAAACUGGGUCUAAUACCGGAUAGGACCAUCGUUUAGUGUCGGUGGUGGAAAGUUUUUUCGGUGUGGGAUGAGCUCGCGGCCUAUCAGCUUGUUGGUGGGGUAAUGGCCUACCAAGGCGUCGACGGGUAGCCGGCCUGAGAGGGUGUACGGCCACAUUGGGACUGAGAUACGGCCCAG